RNAcentral lists this ribosomal RNA (524 nucleotides) under uncultured bacterium. Its description in RNAcentral is "partial 16S ribosomal RNA". It matches the Rfam family "Bacterial small subunit ribosomal RNA", at positions 28 to 523 of the family's 1533-position model. The record is from RNAcentral.
GGCGAACGCUGGCGGCGUGCCUAAUACAUGCAAGUCGAACGAAGCUGUUUUAACUGGUGCUUGCACCGACUUAAACAACUGAGUGGCGAACGGGUGAGUAACACGUGGGUAACCGGCCCCAAAGCGGGGGAUAACAUUUGGAAACAGAUGCUAAUACCGCAUAACCACAGAAACCACAUGGUUUCUGUGUCAAAGAUGGUUUCGGCUAUCACUUUGGGAUGGACCCGCGGCGUAUUAGCUAGUUGGUAAGGUAAUGGCUUACCUAGGCAAUGAUACGUAGCCGAACUGAGAGGUUGAUUGGCCACAUUGGGACUGAGACACGGCCCAAACUCCUACGGGAGGCAGCAGUAGGGAAUCUUCCACAAUGGACGAAAGUCUGAUGGAGCAACGCCGCGUGAGUGAAGAAGGUCUUCGGAUCGUAAAACUCUGUUGUCAGAGAAGAACGUGUGCGAGAGCAACUGCUCGUGCAGUGACGGUAUCUGGCCAGAAAGCCACGGCUAACUACGUGCCAGCCGCCGCCGUAA